UGCAUUUUACGCACCAGACCAGCAAACUACCAUCAAAGUACAACCAGAAGCAUUAUUAUAAUAGCUGAAGAAGGUAGUAUUUCUUUUAUUCAAUACAGUAUAUUCAGUAUGUAAAGAAAAGCAGUGAAAACAGACAUAGCUACACCAGUUAAGCACAGACAGACAUCUCUUAACUCUAAUUUCUAUAAGCACACAGUACGAUUUCCCAACCAUCACAGCUUCAGUUUUUCAAUAAUCAACAAUCAAUGAAAGAACAUAAAUUUACAAUAAGAAAGGAAGAAAAAAUAGAAUCUUGAGCAUUGAUCAGGAGGCGGGCUGCCUCGCCGGAGUUGAAUCAUCGAUUCCUGAGAUAAGGAAAUAGUUAGGGAUUUGCGAAACAAGCUAAGAAAAGAAAGAAAGUAAGAGAAAUAGAAACAGAGGAGGAAGAAGAGGAAAACGGCAGGAGCAGCCGCGAGCCACCACGGCGGGGCGCGACUGGCAGCGGCAACCGCCAGCGCUGCCCACGCCACGGCGGUCUGCGGUGGUCGCCAGUAGCAGAGAGAGAGAGAAUUUGAGCGAGGGAGAGGGAAAGAGACUGAGACACGAAGAGAGAGAGAGAGAGAUGGACAGAAGAGAAAGCAGAGCGACAUCGAGGGAGAGAGAGGAGAGCGGGGCGGCGCCGACCGCCGGCGCUGCAUGCGCUGCUGCGGCCGCCGCAAGCAAGAGGGCAGAGGGGGAGAUCGAGAGGGAGAGCAGAGAGAGGGUAGAGAGAGAGAAAGAAAGAGAUAGGGGGUUUACCUGAGUCGGAAGUGGCGAUGGUGCGACGGAGACGGCGGCGGCAGUGGCGGAACUCACCGGAGAACGUGAAUUGAAAAUAGAAAUCCCUAGAUCUAUUUCAAUUUGGGGAUUUUAGAUUCAGGAGAAGAGGUAGGGAACGAAAGGAAGGAGGGGGAAGAAGGGGUGCCAGCUUCGCCGCGCCGCAGGCGACGAGAACCGGCGACGUCCGCCGGCUGUGAGAGAGUGUGAGAGACGCAGAGAGAGGGAAUGAAAGGAGAGAGAGAGAGAGCGUGUGAAGAAGAAAAGAAAAAUGAGAGAGAGAAAGUGUUUUCC
This 1089-nucleotide long non-coding RNA is filed under the name Salvia miltiorrhiza (redroot sage). RNAcentral describes it as "long non-coding RNA (SMIL_LNC006746)". Lineage: Eukaryota; Viridiplantae; Streptophyta; Magnoliopsida; Lamiales; Lamiaceae. The record is from RNAcentral.